CACGGGGGGAGCAAGCGUUGUUCGGAAUCACUGGGCGUAAAGGGCGUGUAGGCGGUUGAGCAAGUGGAAUGUGAAAUGCCCCGGCUUACCCGGGGACCGGCAUCCCAAACUGCUCGACUUGAGUACGGGAGAGGAUGGAGGAAUUCCUGGUGUAGCGGUGAAAUGCGUAGAUAUCAGGAGGAACACCGGUGGCGAAGGCGUCCAUCUGGCCCGAUACUGACGCUGAGGCGCGAAAGCUAGGGUAGCAAACGGG
Molecule: ribosomal RNA, 253 nt
Filed under: uncultured bacterium
Lineage: Bacteria
Description: partial 16S ribosomal RNA
Rfam family: Bacterial small subunit ribosomal RNA
Source: RNAcentral